CGUAGGUGGCAAGCGUUGUCCGGAUUUAUUGGGUUUAAAGGGUGCGUAGGCGGUUUUCUAAGUCAGCAGUGAAAUACGGCAGCUCAACUGUCGAGGUGCUGUUGAUACUGGGGAACUUGAGUACUGAUGAGGUAGGCGGAAUGGACGGUGUAGCGGUGAAAUGCUUAGAGAUCGUCCAGAACACCGAUAGCGAAGGCAGCUUACUAAGGAGUAACUGACGCUGAGGCACGAAAGUGUGGGGAUCAAACAGGAUUAGAUACCCUGGUAGUCCACACUGUAAACGAUGAUUACUCGAUGUGUGCGAUAUACGGCACGCGUCUUAGCAAAAGCGAUAAGUAAUCCACCUGGGGAGUACGCCGGCAACGGUG
This 368-nucleotide ribosomal RNA is filed under the name uncultured organism. Its description in RNAcentral is "bacterial SSU rRNA". It matches the Rfam family "Bacterial small subunit ribosomal RNA", at positions 526 to 896 of the family's 1533-position model. The record is from RNAcentral.